AGGUAGAAUCAGAAAAAAAGCCAGAAGAUCGUUGUCAUCCCAUUUAGUCUUUGAAAUACGUCCCACCACUGCUGCAUUUGUACAGGGAAAACACUGAGACUACAUAGUCUGAAUCAUCCAACCCUUCUUUACAGCGGUAGUGCCCCAAUUUUCUAUGGAAAAAUUGUUUUCUAUGGAAAACAAAAGAAUUAAGUGACUCAAACUACAAUUCCCACAGUUGCUCAGAGGGACUGGGUGAGAGUGAUGGGUUUUCUGCCUCUGGGGUGUCCAUGCUGAGGCUAGAUGCCAACUUGUUUGUGACAUCAACGAUAUUAUGGAGGGUUUAUGGUGGGUUGAGUGUUGGAGGAGAACAGUGGUUUCCAGACCAUCCAACAUCCCCCAAACUGCUGUUGUAGCUAAAGGAACUGGGAGGAUCAGAGACCUCAUCCCAGCUCUGUUUACUUUGGGAACAAUCGCUGAUGUAUGA
This 466-nucleotide long non-coding RNA is filed under the name Felis catus (domestic cat). RNAcentral describes it as "lncRNA (ENSFCAG00000042079.2)". Lineage: Eukaryota; Metazoa; Chordata; Mammalia; Carnivora; Felidae. The record is from RNAcentral.